RNAcentral lists this ribosomal RNA (207 nucleotides) under uncultured bacterium. RNAcentral's name for it is "partial 16S ribosomal RNA". It matches the Rfam family "Bacterial small subunit ribosomal RNA", at positions 568 to 774 of the family's 1533-position model. The record is from RNAcentral.
CGUGUAGGCGGCCUAUUAAGUCAGAUGUGAAAGCCCUCGGCUCAACCAAGGAACUGCAUCUGAAACUAAUAGGCUUGAGUACGGGAGAGGAGAGUGGAAUUCCCGGUGUAGAGGUGAAAUUCGUAGAUAUCGGGAAGAACACCGGUGGCGAAGGCGGCUCUCUGGACCGAUACUGACGCUGAGACGCGAAAGCGUGGGUAGCAAACA